GAUGAACGCUGGCGGCGUGCCUAAUACAUGCCAGUCGAGCGAACAGACGAGGAGCUUGCUCCUCUGACGUUAGCGGCGGACGGGUGAGUAACACGUGGAUAACCUACCUAUAAGACUGGGAUAACUUCGGGAAACCGGAGCUAAUACCGGAUAAUAUAUUGAACCGCAUGGUUCAAUAGUGAAAGACGGUUUUGCUGUCACUUAUAGAUGGAUCCGCGCCGCAUUAGCUAGUUGGUAAGGUAACGGCUUACCAAGGCAACGAUGCGUAGCCGACCUGAGAGGGUGAUCGGCCACACUGGAACUGAGACACGGUCCAGACUCCUACGGGAGGCAGCAGUAGGGAAUCUUCCGCAAUGGGCGAAAGCCUGACGGAGCAACGCCGCGUGAGUGAUGAAGGUCUUCGGAUCGUAAAACUCUGUUAUUAGGGAAGAACAAAUGUGUAAGUAACUAUGCACGUCUUGACGGUACCUAAGCAGAAAGCCACGGCUAACUACGU
Molecule: ribosomal RNA, 496 nt
Filed under: uncultured bacterium
Lineage: Bacteria
Description: partial 16S ribosomal RNA
Rfam family: Bacterial small subunit ribosomal RNA
Source: RNAcentral